GGCUAUGAUUGUCCAAACGCAAUUCUUGUUCCUGAUCACACCAAGAACUGUGUGUGGACAUCAGUGCU
Molecule: non-coding RNA, 68 nt
Organism: Biomphalaria pfeifferi
Lineage: Eukaryota; Metazoa; Mollusca; Gastropoda; Planorbidae
Source: the annotation of a GenBank genome assembly